UGUUCAUGUUGCACAAAUAUUUUUUAUAAAGUUCCAAGUUACAACUCCUAAUCCAUUCUUACCCUUUCAUAAUAGCAAACACAAUCUUGGAACCCACAAAAACCGACCGGCAGGCAGGUUGAGUAACACGCCUAGAUGAAAGAUGUUGAAUAGCCUAAAAGCUUCCGACCCUAAAUUGCGGAAUCAUACCAGACGGUUGUAAAACACCACAUUUGCCCGUGACGGAGGUUCGUUGAAAUCAAUUUUACCCCUGCCUGCGCCUAAAUCAAUUAAAGAACA
This 279-nucleotide long non-coding RNA is filed under the name Helianthus annuus (common sunflower). Its description in RNAcentral is "sRNA HanXRQr2_Chr08g0341621". Lineage: Eukaryota; Viridiplantae; Streptophyta; Magnoliopsida; Asterales; Asteraceae. The record is from RNAcentral.